GUGGGGAAUUUUGGACAAUGGGCGAAAGCCUGAUCCAGCAAUGCCGCGUGCAGGAUGAAGGCCCUCGGGUUGUAAACUGCUUUUGUACGAAACGAAAAGCCUGGGGCUAAUAUCCCCGGGUCAUGACGGUACCGUAAGAAUAAGCACCGGCUAACUACGUGCCAGCAGCCGCGGUAAUACGUAGGGUGCAAGCGUUAAUCGGAAUUACUGGGCGUAAAGCGUGCGCAGGCGGUUUUGUAAGACAGUGGUGAAAUCCCCGGGCUCAACCUGGGAACUGCCAUUGUGACUGCAAGGCUAGAGUGCGGCAGAGGGGGAUGGAAUUCCGCGUGUAGCAGUGAAAUGCGUAGAUAUGCGGAGGAACACCGAUGGCGAAGGCAAUCCCCUGGGCCUGCACUGACGCUCAUGCACGAAAGCGUGGGGAGCAAACAGGAUUAGAUACCCGUGUAGUCC
RNAcentral lists this ribosomal RNA (450 nucleotides) under uncultured bacterium. RNAcentral describes it as "partial 16S ribosomal RNA". It matches the Rfam family "Bacterial small subunit ribosomal RNA", at positions 354 to 796 of the family's 1533-position model. The record is from RNAcentral.